Nilaparvata lugens (brown planthopper) is the source of this 494-nucleotide long non-coding RNA. RefSeq lists it as uncharacterized. The record is from RefSeq and is a predicted model, not a curated record. NCBI's taxonomy places the organism in Eukaryota, Metazoa, Arthropoda, Insecta, Hemiptera, Delphacidae. The transcript is spliced from 3 exons.
UUCAAAGCACGGAGCUGUUUGCAAAUCGAUCGAUAUUCCGAUGAAAUGCUGUAUGGCAGAGCUGGCUAUUUGUACGCUUUACUGUUCAUAAAGAAGCACACGGAUAUAGCCAUCGAUGAUACCGUCAUAAGAAAGGUUAUUACAGCAAUACUGGCCUCAGGACAAGAUCUAGCCGAAAACGGGGAAGUGAGGUCCCAUUAGAGUAUGAAUGGCAUGGAAAAAACUAUUUGGGAGGUGCGCAUGGGAUUGCUGGCAUACUUUAUGUUCUUCUGUUGGCGAAAGAUCAUUUGACUGAAGACGAGUUGUAAGCCUGGUGAAACCGACGUUGAAUUUUAUACUGUGCUUGCAAUAUGGUCUGGCAAUUUUCCGUCAUCGAUUGGAAGCCGAAACAACGAUCGAUUAGUACAGUGGUGUCAUGGAGCUCCGGGGGUUGUACAACUCAUGAGCAAAGCAUACGAGGUAAGUGCUGACAAAAGUAUAAAUUCAUAAUUCAU